UUCCUUUUCCGUCGGCGACGAACGGAGGUGUACGCGCGGUUUACCACCGGCCAUGAGGUUAUUGGUGGCCGGGGUGCAGCGCCCGCGGGCGCGUCGCCAGGCUUUUCCAGAUGCAACAGAGCCUAUGAGUUGAAGAUGAAUCAAGGUUGUUGUGGAUGUUUUCCAAAAACUUACAACAGAGGAUGACUAAACCUCCAGGAAGCACAACUGCCUAUAACAAGGUACCAAAGGUAACUGCAAGUGAACGGACAAGUUCUUAUCUGUGGUGUUUUAAAAUUCUUCAUUGCGUCAGGUGUGGCCUGUGACAUUUUUGGAAGAAAAAACAAAGAAUUGAUCAAGAAGAUAAGAAGUGAAGCAAAUGAUGAAAAGUAAUAAUUUAUUUAACAAUGAUCAAUAAAAUUAUAUAGAAAACCAUAAUAAAGUUAUAUAGAAAACACGUUUGAAUACUUUUAA
Molecule: long non-coding RNA, 453 nt
Organism: Eptesicus fuscus (big brown bat)
Lineage: Eukaryota; Metazoa; Chordata; Mammalia; Chiroptera; Vespertilionidae
Exons: 4
Source: RefSeq, a predicted model, not a curated record